UUACGUUGUUGAUGUCUACGGGCUCCUGA
This 29-nucleotide small RNA is filed under the name Bombyx mori (domestic silkworm). RNAcentral describes it as "ovarian small RNA-36606". Lineage: Eukaryota; Metazoa; Arthropoda; Insecta; Lepidoptera; Bombycidae. The record is from RNAcentral.